AACGCUAGCUACAGGCUUAACACAUGCAAGUCGAGGGGCAGCAUGGUCUUAGCUUGCUAAGGCCGAUGGCGACCGGCGCACGGGUGAGUAACACGUAUCCAACCUUCCGUCUACUCUUGGACAGCCUUCUGAAAGGAAGAUUAAUACAAGAUGGCAUCAUGAGUUCACAUGUUCACAUGAUUAAAGGUAUUCCGGUAGACGAUGGGGAUGCGUUCCAUUAGAUAGUAGGCGGGGUAACGGCCCACCUAGUCUUCGAUGGAUAGGGGUUCUGAGAGGAAGGUCCCCCUCAUUGGAACUGAGACACGGUCCAAACUCCUACGGGAGGCAGCAGUGAGGAAUAUUGGUCAAUGGGCGCAGGCCUGAACCAGCCAAGUAGCGUGAAGGAUGACUGCCCUAUGGGUUGUAAACUUCUUUUAUAAAGGAAUAAAGUCGGGUAUGUAUACCCGUUUGCAUGUACUUUAUGAAUAAGGAUCGGCUAACUCCGUGCCAGCAGCCGCGGUAAUACGGAGGAUCCGAGCGUUAUCCGGAUUUAUUGGGUUUAAAGGGAGCGUAGAUGGAUGUUUAAGUCAGUUGUGAAAGUUUGCGGCUCAACCGUAAAAUUGCAGUUGAUACUGGAUAUCUUGAGUGCAGUUGAGGCAGGCGGAAUUCGUGGUGUAGCGGUGAAAUGCUUAGAUAUCACGAAGAACUCCGAUUG
Molecule: ribosomal RNA, 694 nt
Filed under: uncultured bacterium
Lineage: Bacteria
Description: bacterial SSU rRNA
Rfam family: Bacterial small subunit ribosomal RNA
Source: RNAcentral